Molecule: unclassified non-coding RNA, 906 nt
Filed under: Hevea brasiliensis (rubber tree)
Lineage: Eukaryota; Viridiplantae; Streptophyta; Magnoliopsida; Malpighiales; Euphorbiaceae
Source: RNAcentral
CAAGAUUUGAAAAUAAUGCAUAAACCAGAAACAAGAAUCUAUAUGCUCUUUCAUAUAUAAUCUAAUAAUAAUCCAUCCGUCCUCGCUGGCACACAAAAUAGCGAACAAACCCAAAUGAAAUAAAAAUUAAAUUUAUAUCUGAAACAAUUGAAACAAACUCACAAGCAUCCAAAGCACAUCAUGUUGGCUACCAUCUCUUUAUCUAAUCCUUUCUCUGGUAUCAAUCUGAGUUUGGCUUCAUAAAUCAUAUUUAGGCAUCACUGAAGAGGGUCAACUCCUUAAUUCACUUUCGUUUCUUCAGGUUUUUUCUCCGGUGAUAUUUCAUUGCUUUUGGGCUCUACUAGUUCAGGUGUGGCUCCAGUUACCUUCUCUGCUUCCACCUUUACUGGACCAGCACCAACAGUUAAUGAUGGAAUUGGUUCAACUGGGAUUUCAGAUUUUUCAGCUUCUGUUAACUUAGUUUCUGAAACCUCCACAGAUUUUUCAAUUCCUGAAUGUUCUUGUUUCGCUGGCCCCACUGUCUUUUGAGUCACUUGCUGCUCUUCUUUCUCUGCCUCACUAGGUUUUUCAGUUUUUGACAGCACUUGUUUCAAUGACUCCACAGGUUUUUCUGUCCCUAGCCCUUCUUUCGCUGGCUGCACAGAUUCUUUGCUCAUUGAUGGUUCAAGUCUCACUGGCUCCACAGGAUUUGAAGUCACGGGCUCUUGGACUGUUGGCUCCUUAGGUUUUUCAGUCUCUAAUGAUUCUUUUUUCACUGGUUCCUCCUGUGAAUUCACACUUUUUGCUGCUUCUUGUUUCACUGGUUCCUCUGGUGACUUCACACUUUUUGCUGCUUCUUGUUUCACUGGUUCCUCUGGUGACUUCACACUUUUUGCUGCUUCUUGUUUCACUGGUUCCUCUGGUGAC